GUGCUCACUUCUGUGGCACAUAUACCGAGAAUUAGAGUGAUACAGGAAAAUUAUCAUAGUUUCUGCACAAGAAUGACAUGCCAGUUCAUGAAGAUUCUUUCUGUACU
This is a small nuclear RNA of Bison bison bison, 107 nucleotides long. Lineage: Eukaryota; Metazoa; Chordata; Mammalia; Artiodactyla; Bovidae. The record is from Ensembl.